GCCUGAGUUGUAAUUUGGAGAGGCAAAUUUGUGAUGGCACCGGUCUAGGUUCCUUGGAACAGGACAACAUAGAGGGUGAGAAUCCCGUACCUGGCUGGACCGCUAUCGCUCUGAUAAAUUGUCUUCGACGAGUCGAGUUGUUUGGGAAUGCAGCUCAAAAUGGGUGGUAAAUGUCAUCUAAAGCUAAAUAUUGGCGAGAGACCGAUAGCGCACAAGUAGAGUGAUCGAAAGAUGAAAAGCACUUUGAAAAGAGAGUCAAAAAGUACGUGAAAUUGCUGAAAGGGAAGCGCUUGAGACCAGACUCGAGCCGUGGUGAUCAGCCGUGCUUCUGGACGGUGUCACUCGCCACGGUUUGGGCCAGCAUCGGUUCUGGCGGCCGGAUAAAAGGUGGGGGAAUGUAGCUUCCUUCGGGGAGUGUUAUAGCCCUCAUCACAAUGCGGCCAGCUGGGACUGAGGACCGCGCUUCAUGGCUAGGAUGCUGGCGUAAUGGUCUUAAGCGACCCGUCUUGAAACACGGACCAAGGAGUCUAACAUCUAUGCGAGUGUUCGGGUGGAAAACCCUUGCGCGUAAUGAAAGUGAAUGGAGGUGGGAACCCGUCAGGGUGCACCAUCGACCGAUCCCGAUGUUCUCGGAAGGAUUUGAGUAGGAGCAUAGCUGUUGGGACCCGAAAGAUGGUGAACUAUGCCUGAAUAGGGUGAAGCCAGAGGAAACUCUGGUGGAGGCUCGCAGCGGUUCUGACGUGCAAAUCGAUCGUCAAAUUUGGG
RNAcentral lists this ribosomal RNA (765 nucleotides) under Humaria sp. Its description in RNAcentral is "LSU rRNA". It matches the Rfam family "Eukaryotic large subunit ribosomal RNA", at positions 136 to 915 of the family's 3401-position model. Lineage: Eukaryota; Fungi; Ascomycota; Pezizomycetes; Pezizales; Pyronemataceae. The record is from RNAcentral.